This 3022-nucleotide long non-coding RNA is filed under the name Numida meleagris (helmeted guineafowl). RNAcentral describes it as "lncRNA (ENSNMEG00000007453.1)". Lineage: Eukaryota; Metazoa; Chordata; Aves; Galliformes; Numididae. The record is from RNAcentral.
UCAUCUCAGCUGAUUUUAUGGGCUCUGAUCCAGGGAAGUACUUAAGCAUGUGCUUAGCUUUGAGUUUAUUGACAUUCCAAACUCAGGCCAGCAUCACACUUUUGAGAGCUGUCAAAAUAAUAACUAAUUUUAUUAUUGAAAUUGCUGUGCUUUGUGCUCUAAGGUUGACACAGAAAUCGGAUUAGUAUUGACCCUUCUAAAUAAGGGAUGUUAGAAAGUCAUUCAGCGCACAAAUGAUUUCUGAAAAACUGAAGAAACCAACUACAUAAAUACAUUUAAAAUGAAUUAUAUGCAGCUGAAUGUCACAUCUUAAUAAUGUAUCCAGCACACAAAUCUGUGUUCAGGAGAGUGAACUUAUGAAAACUUACAAGCCACAUAUGAUGUAUUACAUAUGCUGUAUUGCAUGUCAAUGCUUAUAUGUGUGUAUCUGUGUCUGUUUGUACAUAGCUGCGUAUCCCAAUGAAAUGUAUAAAUCUGCCCUGUCAUCUGUAUAUUGUAGAUCAUUAUAUUCAAAAUGGAGAGGAAAAAAAUGAGUCUUUCUGACCCCUUAUGUAUUUUGACUCUGACUAAAAUUCUGAGAAUUGUCUGAACAAGAUUGUGCCCAUCUGUUUUCACACUAGGAAAAUGAUAGCAACUUGUGUCUUGUCUUGUCGGUUGGUUAUUUAAUAAAUGUCAGCAGUUUAAUUGGUCUACAGCAAUUGUGCUACUGCUGGUAGUGUUCCCUUAUAUACCAUGAGAACAUGCCAAUGUAUACUGGUGUGUUUAUAGUGAAGAGAACAUUUUCAGAAUGAACUUAACUGAAGUGUUCUCUAGCUAAUGUAGAAGGAAAAACUAGAAAAUAACUUUAAAUGAAAUGUUCCUCAGGCACAGAUAUGAGCCUUAUUUGGCCAUAUAUGGCAAGACCUAAAUUUGAACACAGCCUUCAUAUGAGCGUGAGAGCCAGGAACAGAUUGGCUUCCUGGCGAAAAGUAAGCGAAUUACUUCAGCAGCCUUUCUUCAUUAUGUUGUUCCUGAUGCCUUAAACUUUGUUAUAGUGAUAAUUGCUGCUUCUGGAUCUGUAAAUCUUCUCAACCCUGGAUCAAGACUAGAUUUUCACUCAGCAGAUGGGCCUGGCAAAAGCUGGCACUCUCCUUCAUCUCCCGCCUUGCAUCCCUGCUGUGCACUUUCAGUCCUGGACAGGUCAAAUCUGAGUUUUAUCCUUAUGGCCCGCAGUAUGGCAAACUGUUGCACGUAUAUACAACAGAGUCUGUUUCCAAGCAAUUUCCAAGGGCCAGAAGAAACAAACCAAGCCAACCAGGCAAGCACGUUUUCAAAUAUUAAACAGAAAUGUAUCCAAAGGGAAAGACAGAAAUUCUUUACAAGACAAAGGAGCUGCUUCUUUAUCCCAAUCUGUCUUCCGAAUGCAAAAUGUAAGGUUAUGAAUGAGAUACAAUCCAAAGGCUUGGUUGCCUUUAGUACAGAUGUUUCUGAGUUAACUUAGCAAGUUUGGAUCUGAAGAGCUGCAGUUACCAAGUGUUUAUUAAGAAUUUUAUCCGACAUAAUGUAGCUAGUACCAUUGUGCAAUGUGCUGUUGGAGAACCCGAGUACAGUCUUAGUCUCACCUAGCUAGAGAAAAUGGCUCUAGGAGGGACCCUGAUGAGUCCUCUAUCCUUCCUCUACUGCCCUUCCUCCCUUCCUCCUUAACCAAUUUGACCCACUUGUUCCUGAACAGGAUGUGAUGAGCUCUCCAGAGCCACCUUGCGCAGUCACUUCUAGUGCUUCACACUCUUUGCUGCAGCACUUUAUCUAUUGUCUAACCUUGUGUCAGUUUAAGCCCAUUACUUUUUAUCUUAUUCGGGGUGAACGCAAAGAGCAGUGUACUUCAUAAGAAUUUCUUACAUAUCUGAAAACUGUUAGUCUGUUUCUUUUCUCUAGGGAAAAUGAUAUUUAAGAGUAACACAAAAAGAAAUAAUAAUAGUAAUAAUAACUAUCAAAUCCUAUUCACUGGCAUAUCUUUCAAAGUUAUCUACUUUGUCUAUCUUGUGCCCUCACCAUGGGAUGGAGUAGUAAUCUGAAUUGAAGUACAGGCUCCUAUCUGAUUGGCUUUCCAGAAUAUAAAUGUCAUUUGCAGUGCAAGAAGAACCCCCACAAACCUGCCCAGAAGUAUCCCCAGAGCCCUGUCCACCCUGGCAGAGAGCUUUUCACAGAAUCACAGAAUUGUAGGGGCUGGAAUGGACCUCUAGAGAUCAUCGAGUCCAACUCCCCUGCCAAAGCAGGCUCCCUAGACCAGGUUGCACAGGUAGGCAUCCAGGCAGGUCUUGAAUAUCAUCAGAGAAGGAGACUCCACAACCUCUCUGGGCAGCCUGUUCCAGUGCUCUGUCACCCUCACUGUGAAGAAGUUCUUAUGCACAUUUGUGCAGAACUUCCUAUGCUUCAGUUUGUGGCCAUUUCCCCUUGUCCUAUCGCCACACACCACUGAAAAGAGUCUGGCCUUGUCCCUUUGCCUCCCGCAUCUUGGAUAUUUAUAGAUAUUGAUCAGAUUCCCUCUGAGUCUUCUCAAGGCUGAACAGGCCCAGGUUGCUCAGCCUUCCCUCAUGAGUGAGAUGCUCCAGACCCUUUAUCAUCUUUGUGACCCUUUAAUGGACUCUCUCCAGGAGAUCCCUGUCUUUUUUGUACUGGGGAGCCCAGAACUGGACACAAUACUCCAGGUGAGGCUGGACAAGGGCAGAGCAGAGGGGGAGGAUCACCUCCCUUAACCUUCUGGCCACUCUCUUUUUAAUGCACCCCAGGAUGCCAUUGGCCUUCUUGGCCACAAGGGCACACUGCUGGCUCAUGGCCAAUCUGUUGUCCACCAGGACCCCCAGGUCCCUCUCUGCAGAGCUCCUCUCCAGCAGGUCAUCCCUCAACGCGUACUGGUGCUUUUACUCCUCUCCUGGUGUUUGCCUUGAGAACAGCAAGAUGUGAGUGCCACCUGGUGCUCGUAGUGCUGCCUGGCAAGGAAACAAAUGCCACAGAAAAUAAAGAGGAUGUGGAACUUUCUGCA